Molecule: ribosomal RNA, 384 nt
Filed under: uncultured bacterium
Lineage: Bacteria
Description: bacterial SSU rRNA
Rfam family: Bacterial small subunit ribosomal RNA
Source: RNAcentral
AUUGAACGCUGGCGGCAUGCUUUACACAUGCAAGUCGAACGGCAGCACGGGCUUCGGCCUGGUGGCGAGUGGCGAACGGGUGAGUAAUGCAUCGGAACGUACCGUGUAAUGGGGGGAUAACGUAGCGAAAGUUACGCUAAUACCGCAUACGCCCUGAGGGGGAAAGUGGGGACCGCAAGGCCUCACGUUAUACGAGCGGCCGAUGUCGGAUUAGCUAGUUGGUGGGGUAAAGGCCUACCAAGGCGACGAUCCGUAGCGGGUCUGAGAGGAUGAUCCGCCACACUGGGACUGAGACACGGCCCAGACUCCUACGGGAGGCAGCAGUGGGGAAUUUUGGACAAUGGGCGCAAGCCUGAUCCAGCCAUGCCGCGUGAGUGAAGAAGG